Long non-coding RNA from Lagenorhynchus albirostris (white-beaked dolphin), 260 nucleotides. RefSeq lists it as uncharacterized. NCBI's taxonomy places the organism in Eukaryota, Metazoa, Chordata, Mammalia, Artiodactyla, Delphinidae. The transcript has 3 exons. The record is from RefSeq and is a predicted model, not a curated record.
AUUUGCUCAUUUUUAAAACUGUGGUUUGGACACCAGACACCUGAAAUUGGAAAUAAUUAAGCCAAGGAACUUGCCAUUUGCUGUCUGUACCAGCAGGAGUGACAUUCAGCCAGAAGCGUGAGGGCGUUUUCUGCAGGAUGCUGUGGAAACCUGGUUGAGCUCCUGGACUCACAUUAGGAGACAAUGAAGAAAUCAAAAUCAUCUUUCAUGAAGAAGUAAAAUACAACUAUAUCCAAUAGAUUGGAGAGGGGAGUGUGGAU